Molecule: ribosomal RNA, 404 nt
Filed under: uncultured bacterium
Lineage: Bacteria
Description: partial 16S ribosomal RNA
Rfam family: Bacterial small subunit ribosomal RNA
Source: RNAcentral
GACGAACGCUGGCGGCGUGCUUAACACAUGCAAGUCGAACGGCGCGGCGCACGGGUGAGUAACCCGUGAGUUACUGCCCCCCUCUCUGGGAUCACAGUUGGAAACGGCUGCUCAUACCGGAAAGUGGGGGAUGACUCGGGUCCUAUCAGCUUGUUGGUUGGGUAGGGGCCUACAAAGGGGACGACGGGUAGCCGGCCUGAGAGGUGGACCGGCCACCUGGGGCUGCGAGACGGCGCAAUAGGGUACGGUAGGCAGUAGUGGAGAGUAUUGCACAAGGGGGGAGAGUGUGAUGCAGCAACGCGCGUGCGGAAUGACGGGCUGCGAGUUGAAAACCGCGUUCAGACAUGACGCGGUAGUGGCAGAAGAAGCAACGGCUAACUACGUGCCAGCAGCCGCGGUAAUAC